Molecule: non-coding RNA, 148 nt
Organism: Homo sapiens (human)
Lineage: Eukaryota; Metazoa; Chordata; Mammalia; Primates; Hominidae
Rfam family: Metazoan signal recognition particle RNA
About the family: The signal recognition particle (SRP) is a universally conserved ribonucleoprotein. It is involved in the co-translational targeting of proteins to membranes. The eukaryotic SRP consists of a 300-nucleotide 7S RNA and six proteins: SRPs 72, 68, 54, 19, 14, and 9.
Source: Rfam
GCCGGGUGUGGUGGUGCGCACCUGUAGUCCCAGCUACUCAGGAGGCUGAGGCAGAAGAACCGCUUGAACCCGGGAGGUGGAGUGAGCAGUGAGCCGAGAUCGUGCCACUGCACUCCAGCCUGGGGGACAGAGUGAGACUCUGUCUCAA